UACGUAUGGUGCAAGCGUUAUCCGGAUUUACUGGGUGUAAAGGGAGCGCAGGCGGCACGGCAAGCCUGAUGUGAAAGCCCGCGGCCCAACCGCGGGACUGCAUUGGGAACUACCGGGCUGGAGUGCCGGAGAGGUAGGCGGAAUUCCUAGUGUAGCGGUGAAAUGCGUAGAUAUUAGGAGGAACACCAGUGGCGAAGGCGGCCUGCUGGGCUUUUACUGACGCUGAGGCUCGAAAGUGUGGGGAGCAAACAGG
RNAcentral lists this ribosomal RNA (253 nucleotides) under uncultured bacterium. Its description in RNAcentral is "partial 16S ribosomal RNA". It matches the Rfam family "Bacterial small subunit ribosomal RNA", at positions 524 to 776 of the family's 1533-position model. The record is from RNAcentral.